ACAACCCUUUACAAGGGCAUCGAUACAAAUAAUAUCCAGCAUCGCUUGAGGAGGAAAUAAAACCCAGUUGUACGGAAGGCGGCCUUGUUCAUGGGCUUUCGCAGCCCAAUCAGCUAGGGCAUUUGCCUCGCGUCGAACAUGCUGCACAGAGAGGUUGGGAAAACAGGGGAUUAGGGCUUCACAUUCAGCGAGCAGGGCACGGCAGGGGGGAGUUUGAGAAUUUAGGUCAGUGGCUUUGUCCAAAAGAAGUGACGGACAAAUGAGGAAGAGAGCCAUCACAGAGGCUCUUCUUCGGUAGUGGGCAGGGGAGUUUGAGAAUUUUUCAAUCUGUAGAUGCCUCUUGGGAGAUCCGCCCUAAUCACCAGCAGCAAUUCUCACACCAAGUUUUUACACCCAUGAAGAGGACAUCUCGCAUCCGUAACGAAUUGCUAAAGGAGUAAGCUUCUCCGGCCUUGGGAAAUCAGUUUCUUGGGUAAACUCGGUUUUGAACCAAUUCCAAAAUCGGUUCUCAGGUGAAACCAGUUUAACCGGUUCAAACCAAACCCCAUAAUGAAUUCCCUCUCCCCUCUCCCUCUCUCUCUCUCUCUCUCUCCCUGGGACUGUGGCCUCGCCUAUAUCGGCCGGCCAUCAACCAGCCCACUAGUACUCUCUGCUUUCGUUUUCGAAUUCUUCGUCGAAUGUUACGAUUUCGGUUUGCUGAGAUUUCGAUUUUGUUCGUUUCUGAUUUCUUCAGCGGCUUGACAUCGCCAUUUGAUGGCUGCGAGUCGUGACUACCUCUUACCCACCGCCCGUUUCAUUUUUCUUUUGUUUUUAAACUGCCCUCAAUUUGAUGUCCCACCUCAAGCUUGAUUCUGUUUCAAGUCUCGUUUGCUACGUGCGAUGGCACCAGCCGACACCACAUCGGGAGUUCGAGGCGUUCUUGAGUUUCAGGGAACCGACGGCUUGGACAACUUAUACUGGUUGCUUCCACAGUGCAAUGGUGGAGAAAGAAAUCUGUGUCAAAGACCACAUAGAGGUCCGAGUUGGUCAGAAGAUUGGUGGAAACAACACUGACAUCCAUAAGGAUUCUCGUAUAAUGCGUGGUUUGCGCAUUUGGUGGAUUGUGCUUCAAAGUCGGAUGGGAGAGCAUCACUAUACAAUUUGGUUUUGAGCUUGACAUCAUCCAUCUCCACGUUGAAUGUUGGAUCUGGAGAUGGAUGAUGUCGAGUUUAAAAUCAAAUCAUGUCGCUCCUAUCUCUUCCCAGUAGAUACGAAAGGGUAAGUUUUCUUUUUCCGCUACUUUUUUGAAUUAUUUAAUUGUAACAUAAUCUGUGACGCAUUUUUUUAGGCUAAAGUUUCAUCAAUCAUGUUACACAUAUAAAGUUAACAAUGAUCUCUGCACUUUUGGCUCUUAUAUAAUCUAGUCUUCCUUGGAACGAGAAGAAAGGGAAGGGGCCAUUUGGUUUGUUGAAAUUCUUCGUUUCUUGUUUCGGUGAAAAUAAAAAUGAGUCCUUUGUUCCCUUGUAAAGGUGUUUAGUCUAUCAAUAGACAGAAAAUCCAACGCUGAGUGAACACUUUAAACAUGCUUGGGUUGUCUUAUCUUCAAAUUGAUAGGAGAAAAAGGUAAUUAUUUUGUGACAACAUGCCUUUGAUUUAAUUUUUUUGCGAUCGAAGGAGAACUAAUGAUAUUGAUGACUACUUGCUUGGUUUAUUGCUUUCUAUGUUGCGCACUCACCUUCAUUCUCUGCUGUUGUUGACAGUAAAAAACAAGCAGUACGAGCACUCUGUGUGGGUAUUAGUAAUGACUUAACACUUGAAGAAUUAGCCUGUUUGCCAAAGCUUAGGUUUCUUGAAGGGGGAAGAAUUAAUUCCAUAGGUAACUUUAAAAAUCUUCUUCGUACUUUGAGAUGGCUUGCUUGGCAUCAUUGCCUGCAGCAUCUUUUAGCGAUGAAAUCUUCACCUGGUGUAUUUGGUCGUGCUCGACUUUUCGCAAAGCAACAUCACCGACUGAGCUGGAUAGAGGCAAAUUGAGGUAUGGACACACCUCACUCAUGUUUGCUUCAAAUUCUAUCAAUUGACCUUUGCUAGCUAGUUGUAUGGUACUGUAUUCUUAUACUUUCCGUUGGAACGUAAUCGGCCUUUUCUUUUUCACUGCAGAUGGUGAAAAAGUUGAAAGUUCUAAAUUUUACGUGCUGCAGAGUGUUAACCAAGACUAACUGAUUUUUCUGAGUUUAGUGAUUUGGAGAAAUUGAUUUUCACUUGGUGUGUGAAUUUGUCUAUGGUUAAUAGCCCAAUCGAUAAGCUAAAACUGCUAAGUAAGUUGAAUAUUGAGGGAGGCAUUUCCCUCCAAGUGUUGUAUGAAGAAAUCAGUUCUCUAGUAUACUUGUUAGAGCUUAUUGUGUACUCCACAGACAAACUGUUCAAGCUUCGUCAGACACUAGGAAAUCUAAAAUCUUUGAAUCACAGUAGCAGCCGACUUCCUCACUUUAUUGGAAGGUUAAUGGAUCCCGUGCAUUUGUGUUUGCUUGCAUGCCCGGUUAUAUAAGCUUUUGAACUUUAUUGGGGAACUAGAAUCAUUGGUCCAGUUAGCCCAAUUCUAUUGAAAAUCUGACAAGACUAAAGGGGUCAUUAGGGUGCCACACACAAAGAUACACACGAUACCUUGUGUUUUUUGGGGGUGGAGACACAUGAAGUGCUCAAUGCCUCGUUUUGUUACUAUCUCAUGCAUGAAAUCCCAUGGUAAAUGUGGAGGCUGAGCCGAGCCUUCUGAGGAUCUUGGACUUAGAUGGGACCCCAAUCUCUACAAGGUUAUCAUAGGUCAGUGGUUUCUCUAAUCUGCAAAUGCUUAAAAUUACAAGAAAAAGAGCUUCCCUCAAGUUUGAAAUGUCUACUUGGUUGACGCUGUUGGAUUCCCUGCUCUUCCCAGCCUAUCAAGCCUAGUUCAAAGUGUGUAGAAGACAUCCAACUUUUGCAUUUUGGUGUGUGAAUGACGUUAUUUCGCCUUGGAAGGACAGGCAGUCCAUCCAUCGGCUUCCAUGUAUCUUAUCAACCUUGAAACUUGGCUGGAUCCUGCAAUUGCCAGAUUUUUGCAACUUCAAAAGCUUGUCGGUCCUCUCUAUCAGCAAAUGGCCGUUGCCACACUUGCCCAUCCUUAUAUACUUGGAGAGUUUAAGGGAAUUGGAGAUAUCGUGGUGCGAGUUCGUGGAGAGCACACAUGAUCUAUCUUGCUUGAAGAGGCUACAAAAAUUACAGCUCAGUGACUUACCCAAACUGGUGGAGAUUCCAGGUUUGGGGGAACAGGAAUUACUGAAGUUUCUACACAUUUCCAGGUAUAAUGCAAUCAAACGAUUGCCUACCUGUCAAAGUUCAAAAUCUACAGCAUUCCAAGCUAGAUGGUUGUGGAAAGAUGAUAGCUGUCAAAGGCUUGAAAAGAGUUGAAUUUGUUGAAGAAGAUGGAGAUCGCACAUUGCAUGCCCCUGAAAAGUUUGCUCAAUGUGCCAGCUGGCAAUUGCGAUUUGCAGUGUUGCAGGACAAAUAAGCCUGAAGCAGAAUGCAUCAUCUUGAAAAUGCAGGGACUUCCAAUGAAAGCACAUCACGUAUGGAUUUGAGCUCGUGCUUUAUAAGGCGAGUGGCUUUGAACUCCUAGAUUUUCCCAGCAUUUAAAGUAUGCCUCGGUCGUACUGGGCCCGAAGAGGUUAGGUUUUUCCCCUUGGCCAGUUGGACGAGCACAAAAGGUGUGGAAGUGCAGCAUGGUCAAAAUCUGCAGGUGCGUUCUGAUUACAUUAAAGUAAAACAGAGGCUUUCAUUUCAGCUUUUGUUUGCUAACCUGUUGAACUGACCUGGAAAAGAGGCAAAGAAAGAGCUGGCAGCAGGUAUUCAGAAGGGCAUUUCGCUCAUCAAAAAGCGAACGCGUGGAUUGAAGACAGACGUGGAUUUUUCGCGAGAAAAAAGAUGUACUCUACCUAAGUUUCUACUCAUCUCUCUACUCAAAAUUGGUUCCUUGCGCUAAUGAAUGUUUGUGCAUCAUUGUACUGUGUAUCUCGGCCGUGUUCAUGUUCGCAUCUCCUGACUUUCUGAUGCACCUGUAGUCUCCCCCAAGUGACCCUAUCCUGUGUGACGCUGCAACAAGCAAAUGGUAGACAGAAGGGGCCGAGUGAAGGCCGUAGUACUUCAGUGUUGGCGAGCAUUGAAAUUCAAGAUACGCAAGAUACGCGGACGAAGGUUUUUACAGUCUUCUUCCGGACGAUUUGAUCGAAUAAUUAAAGAGGCGGCAGAGCCAUUCUUACAGUGACCGCGUGAAAUCAGAUAUAAGCGGGGGCUUCUAGGGAUAACCUGGGGUUUGCUUUCACGGGGGAUUUAAUCCGAGUUGGUGCGUGCUCGUCCAGCCCAGUAGGACAAGAGGCUGGUUUCUUGGGGCAUAAGCCUCGGGUGUCGAUUGGAUUAUCUUAUGCGGAUUCAAAUGUAAUAAAUGACUCAAUCAAUCGCUCCAAAUCAGCCGUUGACAUCUCUAGGAGAUAAUUGAAUAGUUCAAAUUUGGAAAUCUCAAUCGAACUUAAGACGAAUUAGGGGUACGGUUUGAUCC
This is a long non-coding RNA of Eucalyptus grandis, 4561 nucleotides long. RefSeq lists it as uncharacterized. The transcript is spliced from 2 exons. The record is from RefSeq and is a predicted model, not a curated record. Lineage: Eukaryota; Viridiplantae; Streptophyta; Magnoliopsida; Myrtales; Myrtaceae.